This is a long non-coding RNA of Homo sapiens (human), 2037 nucleotides long. Lineage: Eukaryota; Metazoa; Chordata; Mammalia; Primates; Hominidae. The record is from Ensembl.
GCGCUUAAGAGUAACGGCCGGUAGCUAGGCUAACACCCAGCUUGUGUGGCUCUCGUACUUUCUUGUUCACAGGCAUGCUCUGAGUGCCUUUUGCCUCCCGCCAUGAUUCUGAGGCCUCCGCAGCCCUGUGGAACUGUAAGUCCAAUUAAACUUUUUCUUCCCAGUCACAGGUAUGUCUUUAUCAGCAGCAUGAAAAUGGACUAAUACAGAAAAUUGGUAUCAGUAGAGUGGGGUGUUGCUGAAAAGAUACCCGAAAAUGUGAAAGCAACUUUGCAAGUGGGUAACAGGCAGAGAUUGGAACAGUUUGGAGGACUCAGAAGAAGACAGGAAAAUGUGGGAAAGCUUGGAACUUCCUAGAGACUUGUUGAAUGCCUUUGACAAAAAUGCUGAUAGUGAUAUGAACAAUAAGGUCCAGGCUGAGGUGGUUUCAGAUGGAGAUGAGGAAAUUGUUGGGAACUGGAGCAAAGGUGACUCUUGUUAUGUUUUAGAAAAGAGACAGAUGGCAUUUUCUCCCCACCCUAGAGAUUUAUGGAACUUUGAACUUGAGAGAGAUGAUUUAGCGUAUCUGGCAGAAGAAAUUUCUAAGCAGCAAAGUGUUCAAAAGGUGACUCGGGUGCUAUUAAAAGCAUUCCAUUUUAAAAAGGAAACAGAACAUAAAAGUUUAUAAAAUUCGUAGCCUGACAAUGCAGUGGAAAAAAAACCAUUUUCUGAGGAGAAAUUCAAGACAGCUGUAGAAAUUUGCACAAGAAGCCUAAUGUUAAUCCCCAAAACCAUGGGAAAAUGUCUCCAGGCCGUGUCAGAGACCUUCAUGGCAGCCCCUCCCAUUACAGGCCUGGAGGUCCAGGAUGAAAAACUGGUUUAAUGGGCCAGGCCCAGGGUCCCCAUGCCAUGUGCAGCCUAGGGACUUGGUGUCCUGUGUCCCAGCCACUCCAGCCAUAGAUGAAAGGGGCCAACAUAGAGCUCAGGUUGUGUCUUCAGAGGGUGGAGGCCUUGGCACCUUUUAUGUGGUGUUGAGCCUGUAGGUGCACAGAAGUCAAGAAUUGAGGUUUGGGAACCUCCACCUAGAUUUUAGAAGAUGUAUGAGAAGGCCUGGAUGCCCAGGCAAAAUUUGCUGCAGGGGUGGGGCUCUCAUGGAGAACCUCUGCUAGGGCAGCACAGAAGGGAAAUGUGGGUUUGGAGCCCCCACACAAAUUCCCUACCUGGGUACGGCCUAGUGGAGCUGUGAGAAGAGGGCCACCGUCCUCCAGACCCCAGAAUGGUAGAUCCACCAACAACUUGUGCUGUGUACUUGGAAAAGCCACAUGCACUCAAUGCCAGCCUGUGAAAGCAGCCGGGAGGGAGACUGUACUCUGCAAAGCCACAGGAGUGGAGCUGCCCAAGACCAUGGGAACCCACCCCUUGCCCCAGCAUGACCUGGAUGUCAGACCUGGAGUCAAAGGAGAUCGUUUUGGAGCUUCAAAAUUUGGCUGCCCCACUGGAUUUCAGACUUUCAUGGGGACUUGUAACCCCUUUGUUUUGGCCAAUUUCUCCCAUUUGGAAUGGCUGUAUUUAUCUAAUCCCUGUAUCCCCAUUGUGUCUAGGAAGUAACUAGCUUAUUUUGCAGGCUCAUAGGUGGAAGGGAUUUGCCUUGUCUCAGAUGAGACUUUGGACUGUGGACUUUUGGGUAAUUGCUGAAACGAAUUAAGACUUUGGGGGACUGUUGGGAAGGCAUGAUUGGUUUUGAAAUGUGAGGACAUCAGAUUUGGAGGGGACUGAGGCAGAAGGAUAUGGUUUGGCUGUGUAUCCACCCAAAUCUCUACUUGAAUUGUAUCUCCCAGAAUUCCAUGUGUUGUGGGAGGGACCCAGGGGGAGGUAAUUGAAUCAUGGGGGCCAGUCUUUCCUGAGCUAUUCUCAUGAUAGUGAAUAAGUCUCGCGAGAUAUGAUGGGUUUCUCAGGGGUUUCUGCUUUUGCUUCUUUCUGAUUUUUCUCUUGCUGCCACCAUGUAAGAAGUGCCUUUCACCUCCUGCCAUGAUUCUGAACCCUCCCCAGCCAUGUGGA